GUAGGUGGCAAGCGUUGUCCGGAAUUAUUGGGCGUAAAGCGCGCGCAGGCGGUUCUUUAAGUCUGAUGUGAAAGCCCACGGCUCAACCGUGGAGGGUCAUUGGAAACUGGAGAACUUGAGUACAGAAGAGGAAAGCGGAAUUCCACGUGUAGCGGUGAAAUGCGUAGAGAUGUGGAGGAACACCAGUGGCGAAGGCGGCUUUCUGGUCUGUAACUGACGCUGAGGCGCGAAAGCGUGGGGAGCAAACAGGAUUAGAUACCCUGGUAGUCCACGCCGUAAACGAUGAGUGCUAAGUGUUAGGGGGUUUCCGCCCCCCUUAGUGCUGCAGCUAACGCAUUAAGCACUCCGCCUGGGAGUACGGCCGCAAGGCUA
RNAcentral lists this ribosomal RNA (372 nucleotides) under uncultured organism. RNAcentral's name for it is "partial 16S ribosomal RNA". It matches the Rfam family "Bacterial small subunit ribosomal RNA", at positions 527 to 896 of the family's 1533-position model. The record is from RNAcentral.